This 1775-nucleotide long non-coding RNA is filed under the name Rattus norvegicus (Norway rat). RNAcentral describes it as "long non-coding RNA NONRATT025392". Lineage: Eukaryota; Metazoa; Chordata; Mammalia; Rodentia; Muridae. The record is from RNAcentral.
ACACACAGAUAGAGGUUCCGCAUGCGUGCAUGGACAAAUACAAACACCUUCAGAGACAAAUAUGCACAGACACACAACCACACAUGGAAACAGGCACAAACACACAUGAUCAUGUGUGCACCAAAACAGAAUAUAGGCAAAUAUAGACAAGUGAACUACAUAGACAUGAAGACAUGCAUACACAGACAUGUAAAGAAACAUCUUGAAAUGUGUACACUAACAUGUGGACAGACAUGGCACACAGUUACACCUGGUCUCUGACCAGGACCAUAAUCUCCAGGGUUCAGGGCUCAGAGAGUCCAUACUAGGCUGGGUGGCACUGAUACUCCUCAGGGUCCCACUCUAUGAUUAGGGGAAAUAGCCCGAGGAGCAAAAUGUGCAUUUUUGGCUCAACACCAUGGGGCAGAAGAUACCCCACUAACCACCCAUGACAGAAAAUUAGCCUUGGUUGUGUCUCCAUUAAUAGAAUACCUCAGGAGAUCAAUGAGAGAGCGCUUGACCCACUCACUUCCCAGUCCAGAUGCAGAAGACACAAUGCAAUUGUCCAAAAGAAUUGUACACACACACACACACACACACACACACACACACACACACCAACAAAGGAACCUCUAUAAGGAGUCACCACCCAAUAACAUUGCCUCUUUGGAUUCACAUCCUGGACAUUCUUCAUAUUCAUAUCCAUUUGGGACCUGGGCUUUAGAAAUCCCCAAGGGCUCAUCUUUACAGAGGUCAGAGAUCCCAAUAAAUGCCCUGGUCCCACAGCCUCUCUAUCUCUUGGUACCAAGACUCAACACUGCUGGCAGGGGUAGAACAAUCAACACACAGGAACUCUGAUCAAAGAGAGGCAUGAGAUGCCUGGGUCCUUCAGGAAGUAAGGAGGGAUAACCUCUGAUAUGCCUACUCUUAUUCCCAAAGCCCAGGAGAAGGGAAACCUGCUCUGAAUUCUCAGUCUAACAGCCCCGAUGGUGCCACCUGCUCAGAGAAAGUCCAAAGAACACAAAAAUCAUUAUGCCACAUUUCCUGAGUCUGCCUUUACCCAUGUCCGUAUGUUGCAUCUGCCUUGCUUGCUCUGCUGCCCCAGAGUUCCUGGGACAAGGCCCCAAGUUAGUGCCUCCUCCAGUUUGACCUGUGCUUUGUCUCUGUCUAGCUUGAGCUAUUAGGGGGGCCAGUCAAUUCUCCAGAACCAGCAGAACACCCCCAACCCUGAGGCAAAUGUUCAAUCACCCCAAGGCUUGGCUUGACCCUCCCUCUGUGUGUCCCUUCACAGAGGGGGAGGUGAAUGCUGAGGAGGAAGGCUUUGAGAACCUAUGGACCACCGCCUCUACCUUCAUCGUCCUCUUCCUCUUGAGCCUCUUCUACAGCACCACUGUCACCCUGUUCAAGGUAGUGUGUGUGGUGGGGCUGAGGACACAGGGCAGAGACAGGGAGUCACCACUCCUCACUGCCCCUACCUCUACUCUGUAAAAGGGAACAGCAAUUCACACUGUCUCUGUCACCUGCAGGUGAAAUGACUCUCAGCAUGGAAGGACAUCAGAGAGCAAGAGACCCUCCCACAGGGACACUACCUCUGGGCCUGGGGUUCCUGCCUGUAUGACUAGUAAACUUAUUCCCACAUCUUUCCUGUGUUGCCCUCCAGCUUUGAUCUCUGAGACGGGCUUCUUUCUAGACUGGCCAAAGACUUUGUCCACUUGUGCAACCUGGAACAAUGUCUGGAACCACAGACAGCUGUGCUGUAUACAAAUGUCACUUUGAAAUAAAUACUUCACCUUGCG